GUUGUGACUUGGGCCUGGAGGGCUAAACACUGCAAAAGGAACAGACUGUGCUUGUGGGCUAGGGAACCUGGACUACCAAGAUGGGAAAGUCAGGAAACCCAGUAGGAGGACCGUCCUAAGUAUCAAUAGUCAACCUCAGAUGAUGGCUGGUAAUUUAACCUACUUUUGCCCACCCCUAUAUCUAAAUUGCAUUCGCCCAUCUUUCUCCAAAGUGAGAGCACUGACUAUGAGAAACGACAUCAUAAAGGAUAAAUAAACUAGAAAUUUUUCUGAGCCCUUCAUGCCUUCCUUUUAUUUCCAACGUGCCGUUUCCUAUUACCUGCUCUGAAGCUGCUUGGUCUGUGGACACACGAGUCUUUUUCAAGAGCUGUCGAAGUUUGUCCAAUUCCUCUUGGUAUGACUUGCGAAUUUCAUCCAUCUCCUCCUCAGCCUGGCAGCGCUCUUGAGCUGACUUCUUUUUCCUUUCUGAGAGGUUCUUAGGAACAAGAGAACCAUAAUCAGCUCGAGGGUAAAUGGAGAUGGUGGUGGUGGUGACUGACCUCAAUGAGUCCUUACUUCAUUUCUGAAAACACUGCAUUUUUUAGUUAAUUUUCCCUAUGUAUUUAACAUUCUUGGCUAUUUGGGGGUUAAGAAAAUUGUAACAGGAGGAAAACAAAAGGUUUAACUAUAAUUCUAUUAAGAAGUGGGGAAUAUCUCAACAGUGGACACUUUCAUGCCCAGUUGGGAAAAAAAUAAAUGGGGAUACUCUCUUUAGGUGGUGAUUUGGCAGUCUUGUGAAAAGAUUUCAAAAUAUGCACACCCAGGAGUUCCACAAACUGUAAUUUAUCUUAAGGAAACAAUAAAUCAUGUUCAUGAAGACUAUGUGUUACAAGGAUCUAUAACAAU
Molecule: long non-coding RNA, 885 nt
Organism: Pipistrellus kuhlii (Kuhl's pipistrelle)
Lineage: Eukaryota; Metazoa; Chordata; Mammalia; Chiroptera; Vespertilionidae
Exons: 2
Source: RefSeq, a predicted model, not a curated record